CGUCAAAGAUUCCUUUGAUUUUGCUUCAUAUUUGAGACGCCCAAUGUUGUCAGUACAUAUAAUUGCUUUGGGAUUUAGAUAAAGGUUUAGAGAUUAUUGUGUAUAGAGGGGAGUAAUAACUACGGUCAUUAGACAUAGUUACUUUGGGUCAACUUUUUGGGGUAAGAUUUGGGUAAAAUUAGCGAUACACGUUUUAUAGAUGUGACAUAGUUCUAGACAUCAAUUGCUUCAGUUUGCUUGGCUUACUGUCAACCAAGGUUAAUUUCUGGUGGCUUGCUAGGUCACGUGUACAUGUAGUUGUUAAUGAGGAAAUAAUUCACGGACACAAUUCCAUCAGUUUGGGGAUCAAAUCAGUCAGUUUAAUUCAUUUAGUUUUCAUUGUAAUUGAUUCAUAUGUGCCCAAGUGUAUUUUGGCAUGAUUCUAGAGACUUACUGUAUUUUCUGGUUUGUAUUACUUGCAGAUUGAACCGUACGUACAUACGUAGUCAUAGUUGGUACUGGUACAAUACAAGGGUGAACAGUAAUUCGUCAUCAAGGGAGUUCUUUUUGUCGUCAUCCGUCACUCAGACCAAGGGACAAACUUUGAGUCGGCUGUCUUUGCUGAGAUGUGUCGGGUUUUGGGCAUAUCCAAAAGUCGAACUAAAGCGCACAACCCAAAGUCCGAUGGACUGGUUGAGCGAUUCAAUAAGACUUUGACCAACAUGGUUGCUGUGAUGAUUGAACCAAAGAGGAAACAACGUGACUGGGAUGAGUGUCUGCCAUAUCGUCGAUCGCACCACGAUCCGGCGUAUCCUCGUUUUUUGGGCAAAGUGACAUUUUGCUACAUUAAUGAAAAUAUGAUUGAAAUGAAUGAUUUAACCCAAUUACAAGCUUGUCAGGUCUUUAAUUAAAGAAUUAUAGAAACUAACAAAAAAGUCAUUUGCGGAAAAAUCAGCCACAUUAUUUUCACGAACCGUCGCAUAAGUUCACAUCUCAAUGCCAAUCUAAGAAAAAGAAAACGAUCGUCUAACAAAGAGACGUAUCCCGAUACGUCUCGUGCAGAAAACAAAACAAGCCACUUUUAUUGUGCGCCCUCUGUCAAAAUACGACGUUUAGCUCACGUUGAACCUCGUACACAGAGUCGAACAAUAAUGGUACGGUACGGCCUAGUAAGCCUAUGCUUAGUUUUGCUUAGUACGAGGGUGAGAAGUUGACUCUGGUUUUACCGUGGUUGACCAGGCCUGGCUUCGCGGCGAAAUGGCUGAAAACAGCACCUUGCCCCCCAAAAAGGCAGCUUUAAACAGCAGAGGUAAGUACGUCAUAGGUAAAGACCACUUUCAAUAAUCAAUGCUUAAACAUGAAUGAAAGUAAUCAAGUUCUAUGGUGAAAAAAUCUCUGAGCAGGCCAAGCUUUAGCCUACCACGGUAGGCCCGUACUACUAGCCCUUAGACUAACGUUGUCGGAAGUUGAUUAAUCUUUAACGUUACAUUUGAGUUUGACAAAUAUCGUAUUUUUAAAUGUACUUGUGAAAUGAGCAGAGUGAGGUGUGGCACACAAUGCCGUACUGUUGGUAGGCUCACCCUCCCAUUACAAUGGUGCACGUUAGGCCUUUGCCUGGGCCCUCAUUAGUCAAGGCUAAAUCAAGACACUACAUGGUACAAGAUGGGAUUUUCCCCUAAGUAUCAUGUACUUAUAGCAGUUAGUUGCCAGAUGACUAUUAAAUAUGUCUUCUUUGUGUUUCUAGGUCAUGUGAUGUUUUGAUAGAAUGGACUGACAGAUCAGGAAAUGUUGUAUCAUCCAAGGAUUUGUCAUUCAAUAAACCACUACGUCACAAUCAGCAUGUGCGGAUGAAGUGGGGGAAAACCUGGUGGAGGGGCAAGGUGCUCAAUUUUGAGCAAGGAGGAUGUAACGAAUCAUCUGAGGGAUCAUCUGAGGAAUCAGGGAACUCAGAAGACUCUAAGGAUGACUCCGACAGUGACUUGGAUGAUGUGCCACUGACACAGCUGAAGUCAUUAACUGCAUCCAAACCCAGUUAUUGUCCCAUGACACACCAUUAUUUGUCCUCAAUGCUAUUGAUUAAAUUUCAAAAAUAUGAUAGCGCACCUGUUGUAUGUGUGGUUGGCAAAUUGCCUAACUUCUUGUAAUGUUUUUAUACCCACAAAUUUUCUUGUCACUUGCAGAACCGUUUGAUGGAUCCUGGGGUAUUAAAGCUUCAGAGGAUAACAUGGACGAUGUAUGAUCAGCACAGCUUCAGACAAGUCUGGUUUCUAAUAAAAGUGAGUGACACUGAAAUGGGUUUUGUUUUGAUGUACUUGAAGUUUAUUCCAUGAAUACAUAGCAAGCAAAGGGUAGAUGAAGAUCCCAUAUGUAUUGAGGACAAAAAAUUCAAAACAAAUCGUGUAUAGGGAAACUGACUAGGUGCUGGUAAAUCAACUUGAACACAGGAAAGAUGUGCAAAGAAACUUGAUGAGAGCUGGAAUUUAACCUGCGACCUCUGCUUUACUGUACCGGCACUCUACUACUGAGAUCAGUUAGUAGGGCGCUGGUACAUUUAUUUAGAUGUCACAGGUUUGAGUCCCACUCUAUUCAAUGUUAUUUGCACAUCUUUCAUAUAGACACUUUUUUAGAUUGAUAUUGUUCCAUAUUCUUACAACUAGCAUUUUCCUGACCAUUUGACUUUAGUUAUUGAUGGAGAAAGUCUGUUCAUCACCCCCGUGAUGGAAUCACACUUUUGCAGGGCCAACACAGGUUAUCAGUAUCUAUCUGUCACCAGACUUGAACAUAAGUAAAAUGUACAGGUUGUAUCUAAAUGAGCAUCAUAACAGUAGCAGAAAAGCUUCUCUAGGCUUCUACUCAAAAAUCUUCAAAAAGAUGAAACUAAAGUUUCACACACCAAAAAAAAAAGAUCUGUGCGGUGUAUGUGAGGCAUACAGAAAAGGGUCAGAGGAAGAAAGAAAACGAAUAGGUUUCGAGUAUGAAAAACAUAUCCAAGAAAAAUCCAAAUCUCGAGAACUGAAAGAUGAGAUGAAGAAGAAUGCAAUAGCAAAUCCUAAUACGUUUGUCGCAUCGGUGUUUGAUUUGGAACAGGUUUUGUGUUUGCCUAAAUCAGGCAGAGGGGAGUUGUUUUACAAACGUAGGCUAUCAUGUUACAAUUUCACCAUUUGCUUGGUGAUGUCAUAAUUUCUUGAAGUCCAGUCACAGUUCUGUAAACCAGGUUCAAAAAUUAAAUUGAAUGCAUGUAUUAUUAUGUAGUCAAUGUUACACAUACCGCCUUUUAUUAUCUUGUUGGCCUAAUCACUCAUGAAGAUUUACAUUUUAAUGGGCUUGCAGGGGCAAUAAAAAGCUGUUUAUUAUA
Acanthaster planci (crown-of-thorns starfish) is the source of this 3334-nucleotide long non-coding RNA. RefSeq lists it as uncharacterized. The record is from RefSeq and is a predicted model, not a curated record. Lineage: Eukaryota; Metazoa; Echinodermata; Asteroidea; Valvatida; Acanthasteridae.